Molecule: ribosomal RNA, 253 nt
Filed under: uncultured bacterium
Lineage: Bacteria
Description: partial 16S ribosomal RNA
Rfam family: Bacterial small subunit ribosomal RNA
Source: RNAcentral
UACGUAGGUGGCAAGCGUUGUCCGGAUUUACUGGGCGUAAAGAGCGCGCAGGCGGUCGUUCAAGUCGCGUGUGAAAGCCCCCGGCUCAACUGGGGAGGGUCACGCGAUACUGAUCGACUCGAAGGCAGGAGAGGGAAGUGGAAUUCCCGGUGUAGUGGUGAAAUGCGUAGAGAUGUGGAGGAACACCAAUGGCGAAGGCAGCCUUCUGGGCCAACACUGACGCUCAUGCACGAAAGCGUGGGGAGCAAACAGG